CCUCAGUAACGGCGAGUGAAGCGGUAACAGCUCAAAUUUGAAAUCUGGGCCUUUCAGGCUCCGAGUUGUAAUUUGUAGAAGAUGCUUUGGGUGCGGCCCCGGUCUAAGUUCCUUGGAACAGGACGUCAUAGAGGGUGAGAAUCCCGUAUGUGAUCGGUGGCUUGCGCCCGUGUAAAGCUCUUUCGACGAGUCGGGUUGUUUGGGAAUGCAGCUCUAAAUGGGUGGUAAAUUUCAUCUAAAGCUAAAUAUUGGCCAGAGACCGAUAGCGCACAAGUAGAGUGAUCGAAAGAUGAAAAGCACUUUGGAAAGAGAGUUAAACAGUACGUGAAAUUGUUGAAAGGGAAGCGCUUGCAACCAGACUUGCGCGGGGUUGAUCAUCCGGGGUUCUCCCCGGUGCACUCGGCCCCGCUCAGGCCAGCAUCGGUUUUGGUGGUUGGAUAAAGGCCUUGGGAAUGUGACUUCUUUCGGGGAGUGUUAUAGCCCUCGGUGCAAUGCAGCCUACCGGGACCGAGGACCGCGCUUCGGCUAGGAUGCUGGCGUAAUGGUUGUAAGCGACCCGUCUUGAAACACGGACCAAGGAGUCUAACAUCUAUGCGAGUGUUUGGGUGUCAAACCCAUGCGCGUAAUGAAAGUGAACGGAGGUGAGAACCCUUAAGGGCGCAUCAUCGACCGAUCCUGAUGUCUUCGGAUGGAUUUGAGUAAGAGCAUAGCUGUUGGGACCCGAAAGAUGGUGAACUAUGCCUGAAUAGGGUGAAGCCAGAGGAAACUCUGGUGGAGGCUCGCAGCGGUUCUGACGUGCAAAUCGAUCGUCAAAUUUGGGCAUAGGGGCGAAAGACUA
This 838-nucleotide ribosomal RNA is filed under the name Pezicula neocinnamomea. Its description in RNAcentral is "eukaryotic LSU rRNA". It matches the Rfam family "Eukaryotic large subunit ribosomal RNA", at positions 78 to 933 of the family's 3401-position model. The record is from RNAcentral. Lineage: Eukaryota; Fungi; Ascomycota; Leotiomycetes; Helotiales; Dermateaceae.